RNAcentral lists this microRNA precursor (100 nucleotides) under Marmota monax (woodchuck). The record is from RNAcentral. Lineage: Eukaryota; Metazoa; Chordata; Mammalia; Rodentia; Sciuridae.
AGUGGGAUAGCUGGGUCAAAUAGUGGUUCCAUUCUAAAUUUUUAGAGGAAUCUCCAUAUUUCUUUCCAGAGUGGUCCUAAUUUGCAGUCCUACCAACAAU